AAUAAACUAAUUUUUCACUUUUUACCUUCAAUUUUUGACUCUUCGUCUUAUUAAAAAAAAUUAUGAUUGAUAUUUUUAUUUUUAUGAGAUGAUAAAUCAUGAAUAAUACUUUACGUGUGACUAAUUUUUUUCUAAUUACUUGAAAAUUUUUCAAAUAAGACGGAUGGUCAAACGUUGGACACGUAAACC
RNAcentral lists this microRNA precursor (189 nucleotides) under Oryza brachyantha (malo sina). RNAcentral describes it as "MIR812 microRNA precursor family". It matches the Rfam family "MIR812 microRNA precursor family". The record is from Rfam by way of RNAcentral. Lineage: Eukaryota; Viridiplantae; Streptophyta; Magnoliopsida; Poales; Poaceae.